RNAcentral lists this ribosomal RNA (450 nucleotides) under uncultured Sphingomonas sp. Its description in RNAcentral is "bacterial SSU rRNA". It matches the Rfam family "Bacterial small subunit ribosomal RNA", at positions 8 to 507 of the family's 1533-position model. Lineage: Bacteria; Pseudomonadati; Pseudomonadota; Alphaproteobacteria; Sphingomonadales; Sphingomonadaceae. The record is from RNAcentral.
AGAGUUUGAUCCUGGCUCAGACAACGCUGCGGCAUGCCUAACACAUGCAAGUCGAACGAAGGCUUUCGGCCUUAGUGGCGCACGGGUGCGUAACGCGUGGGAAUCUGCCCUUAGGUUCGGAAUAACAGCUGGAAACGGCUGCUAAUACCGGAUGAUGACGAAAGUCCAAAGAUUUAUUGCCUGAGGAUGAGCCCGCGUUGGAUUAGGUAGUUGUGGGGUAAAGGCCUACCAAGCCGACGAUCCAUAGCUGGUCUGAGAGGAUGAUCAGCCACACUGGGACUGAGACACGGCCCAGACUCCUACGGGAGGCAGCAGUGGGGAACAUUGGACAAUGGGCGAAAGCCUGAUCCAGCAAUGCCACGUGAGUGAUGAAGGCCCUAGGGUUGUAAAGCUCUUUUACCCGGGAAGAUAAUGACUGUACCGGGAGAAUAAGCCCCGGCUAACUCCGUG